AGUGAACGCUGGCGGUAGGCCUAACACAUGCAAGUCGAACGGCAGCACAGUAAGAGCUUGCUCUUACGGGUGGCGAGUGGCGGACGGGUGAGGAAUACAUCGGAAUCUACUUUUUCGUGGGGGAUAACGUAGGGAAACUUACGCUAAUACCGCAUACGACCUACGGGUGAAAGCAGGGGAUCUUCGGACCUUGCGCGAUUGAAUGAGCCGAUGUCGGAUUAGCUAGUUGGCGGGGUAAAGGCCCACCAAGGCGACGAUCCGUAGCUGGUCUGAGAGGAUGGUACGCCACACUGGAACUGAGCCACGGUCCAGACUCCUACGGGAGGCAGCAGUGGGGAAUAUUGGACAAUGGGCGCAAGCCUGAUCCAGCCAUACCGCGUGGGUGAAGAAGGCCUUCGGGUUGUAAAGCCCUUUUGUUGGGAAAGAAAAGCAGCAGGUUAAUACCCCGCUGUUCUGACGGUACCCAAAGAAUAAGCACCGGCUAACUUCGUG
Molecule: ribosomal RNA, 492 nt
Filed under: uncultured bacterium
Lineage: Bacteria
Description: partial 16S ribosomal RNA
Rfam family: Bacterial small subunit ribosomal RNA
Source: RNAcentral